Molecule: ribosomal RNA, 486 nt
Filed under: uncultured bacterium
Lineage: Bacteria
Description: partial 16S ribosomal RNA
Rfam family: Bacterial small subunit ribosomal RNA
Source: RNAcentral
GAUGAACGCUGGCGGCGUGCCUAAUACAUGCAAGUCGAACGCUGGAACUCUAGCUUGCUAGAUUGAAGGAGUGGCGAACGGGUGAGUAAUACAUAAGCAACCUACCCACGAAGACUGGGAUAAUCUCUGGAAACGGGGACUAAUACCGGAUAGGUAAUCGGAAGGCAUCUUCUGAUUAUUAAUGGUUAAAAACACUGGUGGAUGGGCUUAUGGCGCAUUAGUUAGUUGGUGAGGUAACGGCCCACCAAGACGAUGAUGCGUAGCCGGCCUGAGAGGGUGAACGGCCACAUUGGGACUGAGACACGGCCCAGACUCCUACGGGAGGCAGCAGUAGGGAAUUUUAGGCACUGGGGGAAACCCUGACCGAGCAACGCCGCGUGAGUGAUGACGGCCUUCGGGUUGUAAAGCUCUGUUGUAAGGGAAGAACGGUAGAUAGAGAAUAUCUAAAUGACGGUACCUUACCAGAAAGCCACGGCUAACUACGUG